Molecule: ribosomal RNA, 292 nt
Filed under: uncultured bacterium
Lineage: Bacteria
Description: partial 16S ribosomal RNA
Rfam family: Bacterial small subunit ribosomal RNA
Source: RNAcentral
GUGCCAGCCGCCGCGGUAAUACGGAGGGUGCGAACGUUAAUCGGAAUCACUGGGCGUAAAGCGCGCGUAGGCGGUCUGUUAAGUGGGAUGUGAAAUCCCCGGGCUUAACCUGGGAAUUGCAUUUCAAACUGGCCGACUAGAGUACGGUAGAGGGAGGUAGAAUUUCCUGUGUAGCGGUGAAAUGCGUAGAUAUAGGAAGGAAUACCAGUGGCGAAGGCGGCCUCCUGGAUCGAUACUGACGCUGAGGCGCGAAAGCGUGGGGAGCAAACAGGAUUAGAAACCCCCGUAGUCC